CCCUUAGAUGUUCUGGGCCGCACGCGUGCUACACUGAGUAAAUCAAUGGGUAAGGGAACACGAAAGUGCAACCUAAUCUUGAAAUUUGCUCGUGAUGGGGAUCGACGGUUGCAAUUUUCCGUCGUGAACGAGGAAUACCUUGUAGGCGCGUGUCAUCAUCACGCGCCGAAUACGUCCCUGCCCUUUGUACACACCGCCCGUCGCUCCUACCGAUGAAUCGUCCGGUGAAGUUCAUGGAGUGGUGGUUGUUCCAGCUGCUGUCGAAGUGAAAUGGACCUCACGAUUUAGAGGAAGGAGAAGUCGUAACA
This 308-nucleotide ribosomal RNA is filed under the name uncultured eukaryote. RNAcentral's name for it is "partial 18S ribosomal RNA". It matches the Rfam family "Eukaryotic small subunit ribosomal RNA", at positions 1470 to 1796 of the family's 1831-position model. The record is from RNAcentral.